UCCGUGUUAACCACGGCAGUCUCUCUAGAGUGCCCAACUGAAUGCUGGCAACUAAAGACAAGGGUUGCGCUCGUUGCGGGACUUAACCCAACAUGUCACCACACGAGCUGACGACAGCCAUGCAGCACCUGUCUCCCGGUCGUAUUGCUACGAAGACCGUAUCUCUACGGCUGUCCGAGGAUGUCAAACCCAGGUAAGGUUUUUCGCGUUGCUUCGAAUUAAACCACAUGAUCCACCGCUUGUGCGGGCCCCCGUCAAUUCCUUUGAGUUUUAGUCUUGCGACCGUACUUCCCAGGCGGGGUACUUAUCGCGUUAGCUGCGACUCAGCGGGGGUCAAGACCCACUAAGUCUAGUACCCAUCGUUUACGGCGUGGACUAC
This 379-nucleotide unclassified non-coding RNA is filed under the name uncultured Oligoflexales bacterium. RNAcentral describes it as "contains 16S-23S intergenic spacer region". The record is from RNAcentral. Lineage: Bacteria; Pseudomonadati; Bdellovibrionota; Oligoflexia; Oligoflexales.